CAGUACACUCAUCCAUAAAGUAGGAAACACUACACUUGGGCACAGGCGUUUAGUAGUGCUUUCUACUUUAUGGAUGAGUCCACUGU
This 86-nucleotide microRNA precursor is filed under the name Anolis carolinensis (green anole). Its description in RNAcentral is "mir-142 microRNA precursor family". It matches the Rfam family "mir-142 microRNA precursor family". Lineage: Eukaryota; Metazoa; Chordata; Lepidosauria; Squamata; Anolidae. The record is from Rfam by way of RNAcentral.